Molecule: ribosomal RNA, 468 nt
Filed under: uncultured bacterium
Lineage: Bacteria
Description: partial 16S ribosomal RNA
Rfam family: Bacterial small subunit ribosomal RNA
Source: RNAcentral
GACGAACGCUGGCGGCGUGCUUAACACAUGCAAGUCGAACGGAAAGGCCCUGCUUUUGUGGGGUGCUCGAGUGGCGAACGGGUGAGUAACACGUGAGUAACCUGCCCUUGACUUUGGGAUAACUUCAGGAAACUGGGGCUAAUACCGGAUAGGAGCUCCUGCUGCAUGGUGGGGGUUGGAAAGUUUCGGCGGUUGGGGAUGGACUCGCGGGUUAUCAGCUUGUUGGUGGGGUAGUGGCUUACCAAGGCUUUGACGGGUAGCCGGCCUGAGAGGGUGACCGGCCACAUUGGGACUGAGAUACGGCCCAGUCUCCUACGGGAGGCAGCAGUGGGGAAUAUUGCACAAUGGGCGGAAGCCUGAUGCAGCAGCGCCGCGUGCGGGAUGACGGCCUUCGGGUUGUAAACCGCUUUCGCCUGUGACGAAGCGUGAGUGACGGUAAUGGGUAAAGAAGCACCGGCUAGCUACGUG